Molecule: ribosomal RNA, 206 nt
Filed under: uncultured bacterium
Lineage: Bacteria
Description: partial 16S ribosomal RNA
Rfam family: Bacterial small subunit ribosomal RNA
Source: RNAcentral
CGCGUAGGCGGUUGGAUAAGUCAGCUGUGAAAACCACGAGCUCAACUUGUGGCCUGCAGUUGAAACUGUCUGGCUAGAGUGUGGGAGAGGGAAGUGGAAUUCCUGGUGUAGCGGUGAAAUGCGUAGAUAUCAGGAGGAACACCGGUGGCGAAGGCGGCUUCCUGGACCACAACUGACGCUGAGGCGCGAAAGCUAGGGAGCAAACA